This 2307-nucleotide long non-coding RNA is filed under the name Nothobranchius furzeri (turquoise killifish). Its description in RNAcentral is "lncRNA (ENSNFUG00015004305.1)". Lineage: Eukaryota; Metazoa; Chordata; Actinopteri; Cyprinodontiformes; Nothobranchiidae. The record is from RNAcentral.
UAUUAUUAUUAUUAUUAUUAUUAUUAUUAUUAUUAUUAUUAUUAUUAUUAUUAUUAUUAUUAUUAUUAUUAUUAUUAUUAUUAUUAUUAUUAUUAUUAUUAUUAUUAUUAUUAUUAUUAUUAUUAUUAUUAUUAUUAUUAUUAUUAUUAUUAUUAUUAUUAUUAUUAUUAUUAUUAUUAUUAUUAUUAUUAUUAUUAUUAUUAUUAUUAUUAUUAUUAUUAUUAUUAUUAUUAUUAUUAUUAUUAUUAUCAAUGAAUAAAUUAAUACAUACAUCAGAUUGGGUUUUCUCUUAGCUCAAACGUUUAUUAUGUUUAUCAGUAAUGUAAAUUAGCUGUAUUUGAUAUAGCGCUUUCAAGGGCUCUACAACCCCCCAAGGUGCUUUACAACACAAUCAGUCAUUCACCUUCAUUCGCACACACACACACACACAUUCACACGCUGAUGGUAAUGAGCUACAUUGUAGCCACAGCUGCCCCAGGGCACACCUGACUGAAGCGAGGCUGCCGAGCACUGGCGCCACCUGUCCCUCCGACCUCCACCAGCAGGCAAGGUGGGUAAAGUGUCUUGCCCAAGGAAAUGACUGUAACAGAUGGGGCUCAAACCUAAACCCUCCAAUAACAGUGAGGGCACUUAUCUCCUCUGCAAAUGUUGCACUAUUAGUCUAUUUAUUCUUACAUACACGUGUGUGUGUGUGUGUGUGUGUGUGUGUGUGAUUCUUGGCAUAUGUACAUUUGUUUAGGCUCAAAUUCACAGCUUCAGGCAUAACAGGUUUAUUUGCCAGCCUCUGGGUUUUGAGACAUUUUCACAAUCGUUGCAACUUAAUGUGACCAUGCGGAUUUUUACCUUUAAUCUCUGGAAAUAUUAAUCGAACCGUUGUUGAAAAUUAAUAAGUGAUGUCUAUUCUUUGAAAAGUAUUGGCGACUUUGUGACAUAUAGCCAUAAAAAUUGUGUCUGAAAUACAUAGGGCAUGGUCUAGCGUCUUUAGGGGAUGCCAUGUUUUCUUCUGGCUUACUCGGGGUCCUGUGCCUGUCGAUGACUAGAUGAAUGGCUGGAUGUACGACUUACAGAAGAUCGAAAACAUUUAAGUAAUGAGAAACACGAAUUUAAUAACAACAGUGCUAAACUAUUUUCUAAGUGAAAGAACAGAAUCGAAAAAGAGAUGCAAUAUAUUUUGGCCGAGCGGUAUUGCCAUAGUUUGAUGACAUCAUUGGCAGGCGCAGGACCCCAAGCAGAUCCGAUAAGUACAGCAUCAGAAAACUAGCAAUGGCAUUGUAUUCUAUCAAUAGAAAUAACUCAAGGACCAUCAAAGUCUGAGGAGUUAAACCGAGGUUGCAUGUUUUCUGCUCCACAUGUAACAUUUACAUAAUGUUUUUUAAACUAGCAACAGUUACAGAGAUCAGGUGAAAACUAUCCUGAAAUGUGUGUACUGCCCCCCUUGCACCAGAAAACUACACACUGCCACUUUAAAGCACCAAAUUAUUAGCAGCUUUUUCUGAAGCUUGUAGGCUUUUCCAAACAUAAUUUCUUUUAGAACAUGGUAAGACAACAUCAUUUAUGAAUGUGGCAAAUGUUCCUAAAUAAUGACCACUCUGCUCCUUAAUGACCUGCACAAUUUGUGUAUUUACAUCUGUAGCAAAGUUUCUGUAAAAUAAAUCUAAUCACAUUUAAAUGGCACCUUAGUAAUGUAAAAAUAUUUUUACGGAGAUAUUUUGGAGAGCUGUGAGAUGAUGGUCAGUGGGUUAGAGGCUGGUCGUGUUGGUGACACUGGUGGUGUUAUAACAUAACAUUGGAAUGGUUUUCACCAGUUUCAUCACAUCUCAGGAAACAGAUGCACAUGGAUUUGAAGGUAAUAUUAAAGUCAAAAGUGAUCUUCUGGUGUUGGAUGAGAGAAGUGAAACCUAGCUGGAAGCUUUAGAUGGUCACAACUGCGUAAAAGUUCUAGUGGCUGGUAAAAAUUGCCGUCCAUACUAACAUUUGUGGGUGAAUUUGCGUGAAUAGUUGGGAUUGCAACGCCACAAACAUUGAUGGUCCAGAGGAGGUAUGUACAGGUGUACAUGGGUCUGCUGUCUCAUUCCGUGGUUUGUUAUAAUAAAAAAAACCUAACAGCUAACCCUAACCCUAAAAUCUAAAGGCAGGAAUAAUUGUUUUCAAUGAUGUUGCUGAUUGAAUAGCCUCUUUUGUUCUCUUGUUUGUACACUCUUAAGUCCUAGUGUUUUAAGGCUACACAUUAUGUUGAACUCACCUCAUUCUGUUGUACUGCCACGUGGGUCUCUGUUUCUACACUGUUUCUAUAAACACUCCAAAAGU